Epinephelus lanceolatus (giant grouper) is the source of this 1204-nucleotide non-coding RNA. The record is from the annotation of a RefSeq genome assembly. NCBI's taxonomy places the organism in Eukaryota, Metazoa, Chordata, Actinopteri, Perciformes, Serranidae.
AUAUGUUUGUUUUUCAGGGGAUUUAUAUCAGUUGCCAACUCUUAAAGUAAUGACCUCCUCUGAUGAUGACACCGAGACUACCCUCUCCUGCUUUGCCAAAGAUUUUUCACCAAAAGAUUUUGAGUUCAAAUGGCUGAAAAAUGAAGCAAAAAUCACCACUGGAAUAACCAACAUCAAAACACCUUUUGAUGAAAAAAAGACAGAGAAUGGAAUACUGUACAGUGCAGCAAGUUUUCUGACAGUGCCAUCAAGUGAGUGGACUGACACCAAUACGUUUACAUGUGAGUUUAUGGGGAAAGGUGAACAAGGUCCAACGUAUGUAAAUUCAUCUGUGACCAAAGACGUUUGUAUAAAUGGACCUGAUGUGUGGAUGGAAGCAGAUGUGGACAUAACGAUCAUAGAACCAACAAUGGAGGACUUUGUUUGGAACGGAAAGGGAGAUAUAAAAUGUCAAGUCAAGAUAAAGAAACCAUCUGUCCAAAAGAUUUUCUGGGAGACCCAUGACGGAAAAGACAUACCUGGUGCUGUUCCAGUGAAGCCCCCUGCAGGACAAAAAGGUGUAUUCAACGCUUCACUUCCCAUCACAUUUGACGAAUGGAGACAGGGGGCAAAGUUCAUCUGCAUUGUUGAACAUGAAGACUGGAUAGAGCCACAUAAGGAAAUCUACAUAAAGACGAUCGGAGGACCACCUCAGCGUCCUUCAGUUUUUAUGCUACCUCCACUAGAACAUACUAAAACAAAAACCGUGACCCUGACUUGCUAUGUGAAAGACUUCUUCCCUCGGGAAGUUUAUGUGUCUUGGCUUGUCGAUGACGAGGAAGCAGACUCAAAAUACAAGUUCAAUACCACAACGCCUGUAGAAAAUGAUGGAUCAUAUUCUGCCUAUGGCCAGUUAACCCUCACCCUCCAGCAGUGGAAAAAUGAUGACACUGUGUUCAGCUGUGCAGUUCACCAUGAAUCUGUGGUCAACACAACUAGAGCUAUUGUCAGGUCCAUCGGGCACAGAACAUUUGAAAAAACCAACAUGGUCAACCUCAACAUGAACAUCCCUGAAACGUGCAAGGCCCAGUAGAUGUUAUUCUGUGUCGCUGUGUCUUCUGCUGUUUGUUGUUUAAUGUUUGUUGCUUGUGAUAUGACACUGUGUUUGUCUUUUUAAUGCAGAUUCAAAAUCAAAAUAAAAAAAAGCACUUUGCAACUCUGUUGA